AACGAACGCUGGCGGCAGGCUUAACACAUGCAAGUCGAGCGCCCCGCCAGGGGAGCGGCCGACGGGUGAGUAGCGCGUGGGAACGUACCUUUUGGUUCGGAACAACUCCGGGACACUGGAGCUAAUACCGGAUAAGCCCUAACGGGGAAAGAUUUAUCGCCGAAGGGUCGGCCCGCGUCUGAUUAGCUAGUUGGUGAGGUAACGGCUCACCAAGGCGACGAUCAGUAGCGGGUCUGAGAGGAUGAGCAGCCACACUGGGACUGAGACACGGCCCAGACUCUUACGGGAGGCAGGAGUGGGGAAUAUUGGACAAUGGGCGCAAGCCUGAUCCAGCCAUGCCGGGUGAGUGAUGAAGGCCUUAGGGUUGUAAAGCUCUUUUGUCCGGGAAGAUAAUGACGGUACCGGAAGAAUAAGCCCCGGCUAACUUCGUG
Molecule: ribosomal RNA, 431 nt
Filed under: uncultured bacterium
Lineage: Bacteria
Description: partial 16S ribosomal RNA
Rfam family: Bacterial small subunit ribosomal RNA
Source: RNAcentral